GACGGAGGAUGCAAGUGUUAUCCGGAAUCACUGGGCGUAAAGCGUCUGUAGGUGGUUUAAUAAGUCAACUGUUAAAUCUUGAGGCUCAACCUCAAAAUCGCAGUCGAAACUAUUAGGCUAGAGUAUAGUAGGGGUAAAGGGGAUUUCCAGUGGAGCGGUGAAAUGCGUAGAGAUUGGAAAGAACACCGAUGGCGAAGGCACUUUACUGGGCUAUUACUAACACUCAGAGACGAAAGCUAGGGUAGCAAAUGGG
RNAcentral lists this ribosomal RNA (253 nucleotides) under uncultured bacterium. RNAcentral's name for it is "partial 16S ribosomal RNA". It matches the Rfam family "Bacterial small subunit ribosomal RNA", at positions 524 to 776 of the family's 1533-position model. The record is from RNAcentral.